This 498-nucleotide ribosomal RNA is filed under the name uncultured bacterium. RNAcentral describes it as "partial 16S ribosomal RNA". It matches the Rfam family "Bacterial small subunit ribosomal RNA", at positions 28 to 507 of the family's 1533-position model. The record is from RNAcentral.
GACGAACGCUGGCGGCGUGCCUAAUACAUGCAAGUCGAGCGGACGGAUGGGAGCUUGCUCCCAGACCGUCAGCGGCGGACGGGUGAGUAACACGUGGGCAACCUGCCUGUAAGACUGGGAUAACUCCGGGAAACCGGGGCUAAUACCGGAUAACUCUUUCCCUCACAUGAGGGAAAGCUGAAAGAUGGCAUCUCGCUAUCACUUACAGAUGGGCCCGCGGCGCAUUAGCUAGUUGGUGAGGUAACGGCUCACCAAGGCGACGAUGCGUAGCCGAUCUGAGAGGGUGAUCGGCCACACUGGGACUGAGACACGGCCCAGACUCCUACGGGAGGCAGCAGUAGGGAAUCUUCCGCAAUGGACGAAAGUCUGACGGAGCAACGCCGCGUGAGUGAUGAAGGUUUUCGGAUCGUAAAACUCUGUUGUCAGGGAAGAACAAGUACCGGAGUAACUGCCGGUACCUUGACGGUACCUGACCAGAAAGCCACGGCUAACUACGUG